CAGCCGCCACGGUAACACGUAGGUGGCAAGCGUUGUCCGGAAUUAUUGGGCGUAAAGGGCUCGCAGGCGGUUUCUUAAGUCUGAUGUGAAAGCCCCCGGCUCAACCGGGGAGGGUCAUUGGAAACUGGGAAACUUGAGUGCAGAAGAGGAGAGUGGAAUUCCACGUGUAGCGGUGAAAUGCGUAGAGAUAUGGAGGAACACCAGUGGCGAAGGCGACUCUCUGGUCUGUAACUGACGCUGAGGAGCGAAAGCGUGGGGAGCGAACAGGAUUAGAUACCCCAGUAGUCCCUGUCUCUUAUAC
This 301-nucleotide ribosomal RNA is filed under the name uncultured bacterium. Its description in RNAcentral is "partial 16S ribosomal RNA". It matches the Rfam family "Bacterial small subunit ribosomal RNA", at positions 509 to 807 of the family's 1533-position model. The record is from RNAcentral.